UACGUAGGGUGCGAGCGUUAAUCGGAAUUACUGGGCGUAAAGGGCGCGUAGGCGGCCUGCUAAGUCGAACGUGAAAUCCCUGGGCUCAACCCAGGAACUGCGUCCGAUACUGGUUGGCUUGAAUCCGGGAGAGGGAUGUGGAAUUCCAGGUGUAGCGGUGAAAUGCGUAGAUAUCUGGAGGAACAUCGGUGGCGAAGGCGGCAUCCUGGACCGGUAUUGACGCUGAGGCGCGAAAGCCAGGGGAGCAAACAGG
RNAcentral lists this ribosomal RNA (253 nucleotides) under uncultured bacterium. Its description in RNAcentral is "partial 16S ribosomal RNA". It matches the Rfam family "Bacterial small subunit ribosomal RNA", at positions 524 to 776 of the family's 1533-position model. The record is from RNAcentral.